AUCCAGCUGAUGGGUCCCGGGCAGGACAAAACGAGCGUCCUGGAU
Molecule: non-coding RNA, 45 nt
Organism: Schistosoma curassoni
Lineage: Eukaryota; Metazoa; Platyhelminthes; Trematoda; Strigeidida; Schistosomatidae
Source: Rfam